GAUCCAUCUCCCCUAGUCUCGGCCGGCCCAAAACGAACGGAGCAUAUACGGGGAGCCGCGGCACACAAACAUACACAAAAUAUAAAUAGGCCACGCCCAUUUGUGCAUAUUUCUACAUAUAUCCUCGCGACGGGCCCCCCGCCCCCCUGAGCCCCUUUUCCUCUUCCUUCUCUUUGCUCUCACAACAACCGGAGCUCUUUCUUUUUGAAAAGAGCCCUCUUUUGUUUCCUGACAGACCAAGUGGAAGAAGUGGUGGUGUGUCAACUUCAGAAGACAACGAACGACGCAUUUUUGGAUAGGAAAUUCGAAUUUUUGAAUUCCAAAAUUCGGUCUUCAAAAUGACGAUGGAAGCGUUGCUAACACCGAAUAACAACAAUGUUCCGACGAGUCCCGUUCAGACAACCUACACAAGUACACAACGAUACUGCUCCGCGCCAAAUGUGGAUAUUGGAGAAUCAAAAACAAAUUUAAUUAUCAAUUAUCUGCCACAAGGAAUGACACAAGAAGAAGUUCGGUCCCUUUUCACAUCGAUCGGAGAAAUUGAAUCUUGUAAAUUGGUCAGAGAUAAAGUAACAGGUAUCAUAUGCCCGUCCAUCAAAUGAUCAAAUCAAAGGUUCAAACUUAUAUGUUUCUGGAAUUCCAAAAUCGAUGACUCUGCACGAAUUGGAAUCGAUUUUUCGGCCAUUUGGACAGAUUAUCACAUCUCGAAUAUUGUCAGAUAAUGUAACUGGACUCUCAAAAGGCGUUGGAUUUGUACGUUUCGACAAAAAAGACGAAGCUGAUGUUGCAAUUAAAACACUAAAUGGAAGUAUUCCAUCAGGAUGUUCAGAGCAAAUCACAGUGAAAUUCGCAAAUAAUCCAGCAAGUAACAAUCCGAAAGGACUGCUGAGUGAUCUGGAAGCCGUACAGCAAGCCGCCACAACACUGGUACCAUUGAGCACAAUUCUUGGAGCACCGACGCUGAGAGCAACUGCUGGAGGAAUCGGACCGAUGCACCAUGCUCCAAUUACUUCAAAGUACAGAUAUUCCCCAAUGGGCGCCAUCACUGCAGUAUCCCAGCCAACCGCUACACUUCCUGCUGACUAUUUGACAACUUCUGCGCUUCUUCAGAUGUCUCAGUUGAAUGCUCUUGCUGGCCUGAACCCUUUUGCCACAGCAACAGCCGUACCUGAUUUCACAGCUUCAUUAAUAGCGCAUCAGCAACAACAACACGCAGUUGCUCAACAACAUGCUGCACAAACAGCGAGCCCUCCGGCAACAAAUGGACAAGUUGCUGGAUUAGCAGCUCAUGCUCAGUUAUCUGCAUUGUCAGCUUCAGUUGCUGCCACGUUACCGCCAUCAGAUACUGCUGGAUAUUGCCUUUUCGUAUAUAAUCUUUCAUCAGAUACUGAUGAUACACUGUUAUGGCAGUUAUUCUCACAGUUUGGAGCAAUUGUUAAUGUUAAGAUUCUACGAGACCUGACACAACAGUGCAAAGGAUAUGCAUUUGUAUCGAUGAGCAACUACACAGAAGCCUAUAAUGCAAUGCUUUCUCUGAAUGGCACAAAUUUGGCUGGAAAGACGCUUCAAGUAGUUUUCAAGUCAUCAACUCCAUAUCGAGCUUAAACUUUUUUGCAAAAAUAUUCUAAUUUCAAUCAUUCCAGUCACUUGUCUCCCAUUCUCUUUUCAUUUUCUUCUUCUUCCCCAACCAAAGAAAUUGUGAUUUUCCCCCUCUGAAAUUCCAGUCACUUUUUGUGUGCUACUAGUCACCCCCCCCCCCCCCCCAUUGUGUUCCAUCCCCUUUCAUGAGCAACUGUGAGCAAAACCAAUCGAAUUCCGGUAACGAAAUAAGCCACGCCCCUUGAGAAUAAUGAGCUUCUGCCCACCCCUGUCCCAAAACCUUGAAUCAGCUUUAACAUCUUCAAAACUUUUAUCAAUUUUACCUAAAAUAUGCCAAAUCCUCCGUCACUUUUCAGUAUUUCGUACAGUUUUCUGAUUUUUAUACUGGGUUCCUUGUUUUUCUUUUACAAAGAUUUUUUGAAAUAUUAAAACUAAAAUGUGUAUAAUAAAAAUUGUAUACCAAUUUCAGUGAUAAAUAAUUUAUUUUA
Molecule: unclassified non-coding RNA, 2087 nt
Filed under: Caenorhabditis elegans
Lineage: Eukaryota; Metazoa; Nematoda; Chromadorea; Rhabditida; Rhabditidae
Description: Non-coding transcript of protein-coding gene exc-7
Source: RNAcentral